This 67-nucleotide transfer RNA is filed under the name Manota sp. WQY001. RNAcentral's name for it is "tRNA-Asn". Lineage: Eukaryota; Metazoa; Arthropoda; Insecta; Diptera; Mycetophilidae. The record is from RNAcentral.
UUAAUUGAAACCAAAAAAAGAGGUAUAUUACUGUUAAUAAUAAAAUUGAAAUUUAUUUCCAAUUAAA